This 301-nucleotide non-coding RNA is filed under the name Andreesenia angusta. RNAcentral describes it as "Eubacterium angustum Bacterial large subunit ribosomal RNA". It matches the Rfam family "Bacterial large subunit ribosomal RNA", at positions 1 to 300 of the family's 2925-position model. The record is from Rfam by way of RNAcentral. Lineage: Bacteria; Bacillati; Bacillota; Tissierellia; Tissierellales; Gottschalkiaceae.
GGUCAAGUUAGUAAGGGCAUAUGGUGAAUGCCUUGGCACUAGGAGCCGAUGAAGGACGCGAUAAGCUGCGAAAAGCUUCGGGGAGCCGCAAAUAGGCUUUGAUCCGGAGAUAUCCGAAUGGGGAAACCCACCUGUGGUAAACCGCAGGUACUGCAUAGUGAAUACAUAGCUAUGUGGAGGUAGACCGGGGGAACUGAAACAUCUAAGUACCCCGAGGAAGAGAAAGAAAAAUCGAUUUUCUGAGUAGCGGCGAGCGAAAGGGAAAGAGCCCAAACCGCAGAGGGCAACUUCUGCGGGGUUG